Molecule: small nuclear RNA, 162 nt
Filed under: Eptatretus burgeri (inshore hagfish)
Lineage: Eukaryota; Metazoa; Chordata; Myxini; Myxiniformes; Myxinidae
Description: U1 spliceosomal RNA (ENSEBUG00000000056.1)
Rfam family: U1 spliceosomal RNA
About the family: U1 is a small nuclear RNA (snRNA) component of the spliceosome (involved in pre-mRNA splicing).
Source: RNAcentral
AUUGAUACCCGAUAGGAGAGAUACUGUGAUCAUUGAGGCGGUAUUCUCAGGGCGAGGCCUACCCAUUGCACUUCAGGGGGAAGGUUGAGCCUUGCGAUUUUUCCCCAAAUAUGGCAAAGUCGACCGUGAAAUUUGUAGAAUGCAGGAGACGAUUGACCUGCU